This 56-nucleotide transfer RNA is filed under the name Crypsis chinensis. RNAcentral's name for it is "tRNA-Ser". The record is from RNAcentral. Lineage: Eukaryota; Metazoa; Arthropoda; Insecta; Coleoptera; Tenebrionidae.
GAAAUAUUUUUAAUUAAGCUUCUAACUUAAUAUCAAGCACACGUGUUUAUAUUUCU